This 324-nucleotide ribosomal RNA is filed under the name uncultured Francisella sp. RNAcentral describes it as "bacterial SSU rRNA". It matches the Rfam family "Bacterial small subunit ribosomal RNA", at positions 197 to 509 of the family's 1533-position model. Lineage: Bacteria; Pseudomonadati; Pseudomonadota; Gammaproteobacteria; Thiotrichales; Francisellaceae. The record is from RNAcentral.
GGCGGCUUAGGCUGUCGCAGAUGGAUGAGCCUGCGUUGGAUUAGCUAGUUGGUGAGGUAAUGGCCUACCAAGGCUACGAUCCAUAGCUGAUUUGAGAGAAUGAUCAGCCACAUUGGGACUGAGACACGGCCCAAACUCCUACGGGAGGCAGCAGUGAGGAAUAUUGGACCAAUGGGGGAAACCCCUGAUCCAGCAAUGUCCAUGUGUGUGAAGAAGGCCUUAGGGUUGUAAAGCACUUUAGUUGGGGAAGAAAGCUUUAAGGUUAAUAAACCUUGAGGAAGGACGUUACCCUAAAGAAUUAAGCACCGGCGUAACUCCGGUGCC